UUGAGUGUAUAUCAAAAUAUACACAAAAGAAAGAAAAAAUUAUACACUAUCUAAAAGUUUACAUAUUCUUAACUAUAUUAAAGAAAGAAAAAAUUAUACACUAUCUAAAAGUUUACAUAUUCUUAACUAUACUAAAUUACAAAGGUUAGAUUUAUUAUUCUUGUAUAGAACACUUUCUAUUCUAAUUAUUCGGACAAUAAAUGGUGUUUGUUAAACCUAAUACUAGUGCUAUACACCCC
RNAcentral lists this long non-coding RNA (239 nucleotides) under Phaseolus vulgaris (common bean). RNAcentral's name for it is "long non-coding RNA (PVUL_LNC004165)". Lineage: Eukaryota; Viridiplantae; Streptophyta; Magnoliopsida; Fabales; Fabaceae. The record is from RNAcentral.